GAUGAACGCUGGCGGCGUGCCUAAUACAUGCAAGUCGAGCGAACAGACGAGGAGCUUGCUCCUCUGACGUUAGCGGCGGACGGGUGAGUAACACGUGGAUAACCUACCUAUAAGACUGGGAUAACUUCGGGAAACCGGAGCUAAUACCGGAUAACAUGUUGAACCGCAUGGUUCAACAGUGAAAGACGGUCUUGCUGUCACUUAUAGAUGGAUUCGCGCCGCAUUAGCUAGUUGGUAAGGUAACGGCUUACCAAGGCAACGAUGCGUAGCCGACCUGAGAGGGUGAUCGGCCACACUGGAACUGAGACACGGUCCAGACUCCUACGGGAGGCAGCAGUAGGGAAUCUUCCGCAAUGGGCGAAAGCCUGACGGAGCAACGCCGCGUGAGUGAAGAAGGUCUUCGGAUCGUAAAACUCUGUUAUUAGGGAAGAACAAAUGUGUAAGUAACUAUGCACGUCUUGACGGUACCUAAUCAGAAAGCCACGGCUAACUACGUG
This 497-nucleotide ribosomal RNA is filed under the name uncultured bacterium. Its description in RNAcentral is "partial 16S ribosomal RNA". It matches the Rfam family "Bacterial small subunit ribosomal RNA", at positions 28 to 507 of the family's 1533-position model. The record is from RNAcentral.